UCCCCGUUACCGGGGCAGUCUAGCUAGAGAAAUUCAACUAACUAUAAGGGUUGCGCUCGUUAAUGGACUUAACCAAACAUCUCACGACACGAGCUGACGACGGCCAUGCAUCACCUGUCACUGCGUUCUAAAAGCACAGUUUCCUUUCGGAAACCUUCACAGGAUGUCAAACCUUGGUAAGGUUCUACGCUUAUCAUCGAAUUAAACAACACACUCCACCGCUUGUGCGGGUCCCCGUCAAUUCCUUUAUGUUUUAGUCUUGCGACCGUACUCCACAGGCGGGAUGCUUAACGCGUUAGCUUCGCUACUACUGGAGUCGAUACCAAUAACAGCUAGCAUCCAUAGUUUACGGCGUGGACUAC
This 362-nucleotide unclassified non-coding RNA is filed under the name uncultured bacterium. RNAcentral's name for it is "contains 16S-23S intergenic spacer region". The record is from RNAcentral.